RNAcentral lists this ribosomal RNA (267 nucleotides) under uncultured bacterium. RNAcentral describes it as "partial 16S ribosomal RNA". It matches the Rfam family "Bacterial small subunit ribosomal RNA", at positions 793 to 1055 of the family's 1533-position model. The record is from RNAcentral.
GUCCACGCCGUAAACGAUGGGCACUAGGUGUCGCGGGUAUUGACCCCUGCGGUGCCGUAGCUAACGCAUUAAGUGCCCCGCCUGGGGAGUACGGCCGCAAGGCUAAAACUCAAAGGAAUUGACGGGGGCCCGCACAAGCGGUGGAGCAUGUGGUUUAAUUCGACGCAACGCGAAGAACCUUACCUGGGUUUGACAUCCCGAUCGUACCUUAUGGAAACAUAGGGGUCAGUUCGGCUGGAUCGGUGACAGGUGCUGCAUGGCUGUCGU